This 211-nucleotide unclassified non-coding RNA is filed under the name Hevea brasiliensis (rubber tree). The record is from RNAcentral. Lineage: Eukaryota; Viridiplantae; Streptophyta; Magnoliopsida; Malpighiales; Euphorbiaceae.
GCAUAUUUCCUUUGUGAAAUAGCAAUGUCAAUAUUAGAUUGUGCUACAUCAAUACUCAAAAAAUACUUUAGCUUUGUUAAAUCCUUGGUCAAAGUGAUUAAGGAAAUGCUAUUUAAGUAAUGCCCUUAUGAUCAUCAUCUGUUAUAAUAAUCAUAGUUAUUAGGCGCAUCAAGGCGCUAAGAGUCUUGAGUGAGGUGAGGCGUAAAAAUUA